GAUGAACGCUGGCGGCGUGCCUAACACAUGCAAGUCGAACGGAGCUGUUUUGAUGAAGUUUUCGGAUGGAUUUAAAACAGCUUAGUGGCGGACGGGUGAGUAACGCGUGGGUAACCUGCCUCACACUGGGGGAUAACAGUUAGAAAUAGCUGCUAAUACCGCAUAAGCGCACGGUUCCGCAUGGAACAGUGUGAAAAACUCCGGUGGUGUGAGAUGGACCCGCGUCUGAUUAGCCAGUUGGCGGGGUAACGGCCCACCAAAGCGACGAUCAGUAGCCGGCCUGAGAGGGUGAACGGCCACAUUGGGACUGAGACACGGCCCAAACUCCUACGGGAGGCAGCAGUGGGGAAUAUUGCACAAUGGGGGAAACCCUGAUGCAGCGACGCCGCGUGAGUGAAGAAGUAUUUCGGUAUGUAAAGCUCUAUCAGCAGGGAAGAAAGUGACGGUA
Molecule: ribosomal RNA, 448 nt
Filed under: uncultured bacterium
Lineage: Bacteria
Description: bacterial SSU rRNA
Rfam family: Bacterial small subunit ribosomal RNA
Source: RNAcentral